This 235-nucleotide unclassified non-coding RNA is filed under the name uncultured fungus. RNAcentral's name for it is "sequence contains ITS1, 5.8S rRNA gene". Lineage: Eukaryota; Fungi. RNAcentral also lists the same sequence under 1 other name. The record is from RNAcentral.
UUGAAAUAAACCUGAUGAGUUGCUGCUGGUUUUUUUAACAUGUGCACACUUGUCAUCUUUAUAUCUCCACCUGUGCAUCUUUUGUAGACCUGGACAAGUUUCUUAAUGCUACUUAGCAUUGAGGUUUUGGGAUUGACUUUUGUCUUUCCUUACAUUUCUAGGUCUAUGUUUAUUCAUAUACCCUAUUGUAUGUUAUAGAAUGUAAUAAUUAGGCCUUUGUGCCUAUAACACUAUA